AUUGAACGCUGGCGGAAUGCUUUACACAUGCAAGUCGAACGGCAGCACGGACUUCGGUCUGGUGGCGAGUGGCGAACGGGUGAGUAAUGUAUCGGAACGUGCCCAGUCGUGGGGGAUAACGUAGUGAAAAUUACGCUAAUACCGCAUACGAUCUAUGGAUGAAAGCGGGGGAUCGCAAGACCUCGCGCGAUUGGAGCGGCCGAUAUCAGAUUAGGUAGUUGGUGGGGUAAAGGCCCACCAAGCCAACGAUCUGUAGCUGGUCUGAGAGGACGACCAGCCACACUGGAACUGAGACAAGGUCCAGACUCCUACGGGAGGCAGCAGUGGGGAAUUUUGGACAAUGGGCGAAAGCCUGAUCCAGCCAUUCCGCGUGCAGGAUGAAGGCCCUCGGGUUGUAAACUGCUUUUGUACAGAACGAAGAGGUUUCUACUAAUACUAGGAGCUCAUGACGGUACUGUAAGAAUAAGCACCGGCUAACUACGUGCCAGCAGCCGCCGUAA
This 500-nucleotide ribosomal RNA is filed under the name uncultured bacterium. RNAcentral describes it as "partial 16S ribosomal RNA". It matches the Rfam family "Bacterial small subunit ribosomal RNA", at positions 30 to 523 of the family's 1533-position model. The record is from RNAcentral.